RNAcentral lists this ribosomal RNA (442 nucleotides) under uncultured bacterium. RNAcentral describes it as "partial 16S ribosomal RNA". It matches the Rfam family "Bacterial small subunit ribosomal RNA", at positions 338 to 795 of the family's 1533-position model. The record is from RNAcentral.
CCUACGGGUGACAGCAGUGGGGAAUAUUGGGCAAUGGGCGCAAGCCUGACCCAGCAACGCCGCGUGAAGGAAGCAGGCUUUCGGGUUGUAAAAUUCUUUUAAGAGGGAAGAGCAGAAGACGGUACCUCUUGAAUAAGCCACGGCUAACUACGUGCCAGCAGCCGCGGUAAUACGGAGGUGGCAAGCGUUGUCCGGAUGUACUGGGUGUAAAGGGCGUGCAGCCGGGAAGACAAGUCAGAUGUGAAAGCCCGCGGCUCAACCGCGGAACGGCAUUUGAAACUGUUUUGCUUGAGUACCGGAGAGGUAAACGGAAUUCCUGGUGUAGCGGUGAAAUGCGUAGAUAUAAGGAAGAACACCGGUGGCGAAGGCGGUUAACUGGACGGAAAUUGACGGGGAGGAGCGAAAGCGUGGGUAGCAAACAGGAUUAGAUACCCCGGUAGUC